AGACUACUAGUCAACCUAAAAAUUCAGUUAGCAUUACAUCUCAGCACAAAUAAAGAAUUUGGAUCACUGCCUCGUUAGAUCACCUCUAUUUCUAGCUUGCUGAGUAAAAGGAGCAUUUUUUUACAGCCUAGUUUGAUAAGUAAAAGGUGUCUUUUUCACCUGCUUGCACUCUGAAUUGUCACUCUCCUUCUUUGUUCCUUUGCAUGCAGCUGUUGUCAGCUUCCGAGUCACAGAACCACUUGCAGGAACGGCUCUGGAGAGUUUUGGAAGAAAGGAGAGAAAAAAGAGGAGCUGCAUUUUUAUUUAACAGAAGAAGGAGAACACAAAGAAAAGAAAGGUGUUCUCAAGAAUGUAGCCUGCAGCCUUGUCAGUUCUCCUUUGGUGAAAUGGAAAUCCACCAGUAUCUGGAAAAUAAAUCCACUACUCUGAAGAGAAAGCUGGCUACCUUAGUGGUAAAUUGUUGUAUAGCUAACCAUCUGCUAACCCUCAUUAAUCAUUCACCUGCACUGAUCCCGCCAAACAUUAACAUGAAUUUGUAAAUGUGCAUUUAUAAGGUAAGAUUCUAAGAGAAAGGAAGGAAUCUGUUAGACUAUCUGUUUCUCGAGGAAAGCUAUCACUGUUGCUUGGUGUAAGGCUUCUCAACCUCUUGGGUUCUCACACCUUCUGCUAGAAUUGGAACUAGAGGAAUUAGGAUCUAAUCUUAUAGCUCUUUUGCAUACUUGAUUUCAUCUGUGAAUUACUCUACUUCUACUGUAAGGAUAAAAUCUCUCUGCUUUAAUCAGAGAUGAAAAAUAUAGGAUGGUUUAGAAAUUUUUACUUGUAAAAAUAACAUUUGGCAUUGCUUCUGGUCUCUGAGGCAUACCUAAGCUCUCUGCUUCGGCUAGACACUCCUCUGACCCAUUACUGCUUCCCACCCAGCAGUUCCCACACAAGCAAUCCUUAAUUCUUCUUUGGUGUCUCAGGUGGUGGUAGACUCCAGAGUAUAUUCUCUGAUAUUCUUAGCAGCUUGGCCUAAGAUAAGGAACAGCUCUCUAUAAGGAACAGCUACAAGAAGAAAGGAGGAUGAAGUAUUCCAUGAUGGGAAGAGGAAUGUUUCCAGUAAGGGACUUAAAAAAGUCUUUUGAUGUCAGCGAUAUCAUGUACAUAUGUUGGAGCGGGAAACAGGAAAGGCUUGAAUUCUGAAAUAAAGAUAGUAUUUGGAUCCA
RNAcentral lists this long non-coding RNA (1205 nucleotides) under Struthio camelus australis. RNAcentral describes it as "lncRNA (ENSSCUG00000008151.1)". Lineage: Eukaryota; Metazoa; Chordata; Aves; Struthioniformes; Struthionidae. The record is from RNAcentral.